GGGACUGCCCAGCCAAGGAAUGGGGCUGGGGCUACUGGAGGGGCUCUUCAGGGUGCCUUGGGGCUGGCACCUCUGUUCUGUCCUGUGGGUGAAACGAUGUGGAUCAUCCAUAAAGCUGUCUGCCAUGUGACAUUCCCUUCCUCUGCUCUCCAGUAGAUGGUCCAUCUUUCUGAUCUCAUGAUGGAUACGUUCCACCCAUUUGCCUAAAACGUUUCCCUCAACUCACAUCUCCACUUUUCUGAGACCCAACUUGUCAUGGUGGCAUAUGGUCUCCAAAAUGGGGAAACUACCAUAGCAGGCCUUCGUAUUUACCCAGCUGGGAUAGAAGAAUAGUGAUUGCCCAAAAUUGACCCUGCCCUUGAAUGAAAAGCAGGUUCACUUUCUCAGCUGACUAUCUAUCUAGAAGCAGAGUGCAAUACUCCCUACAGUCCAAAUAAGAUAAAGCCCUUUACUGGUUUUGCAGUAGUGGAGAAUUGUUAUGUUACACUGAGGAAUUGAUGUAUACAGUUGGCAGACAGGUGAGAUUUGUCCCUGGAGCAGAAAGCAAUGUUUCACCAAGCAUUCUUUAAGAAAAAAAAUACUUAGAAUUCCAAAACAAAUUUAAUAAUAUUAAAUGUUGUCUUUUGAAUAGUAUCACUGGUAACUGGAAAAUACUUGCCAAAUUGCUUAGUACAUUUUCUCGCUGUUCCAGACUGUUUCAUGCUAUAUUCAUCACUGUUUUCUCAACAUUGCUGUGUUAUAAUUUUAGAGGGUUUUUCUUGCCUGUCUAGUCUUUUUCCUUCUUAUUUUUUUAUUUCACCAACUUCAGAGAUAAAUGUUCAAAAAACGAGCAUCCCUAAGCUUUCAGUUCCAAUCGGUAGCUCAUCUUUUAUGAGGUACCUGUUAUUGGUCUGACAAUAAAAUCUAAUUGUGUUUUUUAUUAGUUUGUAACCUGGAAUAUGUCUGUGGGAAACCAUGAGACAGCUGAGACUCAGAUCAUCGCCUUUGCAGUUUUGAACUUGUACUCCAUUUGUGGGAACAUUUUGCUUCUUAUGGGAGGAUGCUGCUUACACAAGGCCAUAUGUAAGGGCAAUAUGAAACUUUUAUACUAGGUCUACAAUGGAAUUUUUUCCUGAUGUAGCAAUGUGGGUUGCAAGUGUUUAGUUUUUCAAGGCAUUUCUCUUUCAACCAAGUCUCAAAUCCACUCAAAUGCAACUCUAGUGUCAUAUAAUGACUUUGCUGACUCUUCACUCUCAACCAAGCUAUACAGAACAGAUUUUUCUUUGAUAACCAUGUCAGCAUAGGUAUUCUAUACUGAAACUGGAACCUGAUUUACUAUGCAGUGCCAGAAAUUACACUAAUGUAGUCAAAAGUAUACCUCCUCUCUCGUAAGAGCACUUACACACUCAUUUCUCUCUUUCUAACUCUUAAUGUAUCAAAAUACAUGACAUUUUAUUCAAGGCAGAUAAUUUCUUUCCCAUUUAAAGCAUCAAAAAUGUCCUAGAAACCUCGCUACUUAAUGAUUUGAUCAGCUUAGUUUUUCGUGUUGGAGGAAAGCAUUCAAGUUAAACAAAAGGCAACAAAGCUUUCUAUUUAAAAACAAAAACUUAAACCAAAUUUCCUCACAGACAAGUAAAUGUAUUUUGAUGGAAAAUACAUGAAAACAUAGCAAAGAAAAAAAUGUAUGUCCAGCUUCUGCUUAAAGAUCUUAGGUGGGUGUUACUUAGCUCUGUAUUGUUCAGAUGUAAUAAGUUUACAUAUUGCCAGUAAAAAAAGUAUUGCUUGUUUGUUUUUGUUUUGCUUUGCUUUUAACUUGGACAGAAGCCUUGGAUAUGAAGGUGAUACAGUGCUGUCUUGGCAGCAGUCUUAUGAUUUCAUGUUUCUCUUCAGUGUCUCUGUAUCGCUCAUCUGGUAGUACACUUGGUUCUUGUCCAGAGGGCACGACUUCAGUUUCAGAACAAGACCAAACAAGCAUCUGUUUUUUUGCCAUCGGUGCUUUAGUGCACCAUUAGCUUGAGAGAAUGCUUUUUUUCCAGUGAGGAAUUGAUAACAAUAUCCUCUAAAAUCUACUGUCUCCCAGUAUAAGGGCUGAAAAACAAAAUUUGAUCUUAAGAUCAGAUGUAAAACAGGCUCAGUUCAGUGAUUUGCACAAGAAAAGUUAACCUUUUCACUGGGGAAAAAAAAAAAAAAAGAAAAAUUAAAAGAGGACUUGAAUGUGAAAUGUUAUGAGUGUAUGAUUAGCCAGAUUCAUUUGGUAUAAGAGAAGUAUUCCAUUAAAACAGGGUUUGAAAUUUUAGUAUAUUGUUAUGUUUUACACAUAUAUCUCAUGGCAACUGUCCAUUUGUCAGAAUGACAACCAUUCGUAUUCUUUGUAUUUUACAGGGAUAUUUACUUGAAAAUAAGUGGGGAUUAUUCAUUGAUUCAUUGGGUGGAACAUAUUGACAGCAUGAUUGAUUCAAUGUGAGCCAAAGGCAGUUGAUCUGUACAUGGUCGGGGGAUGCAGAACCUGAAUUUAUAAAGCUUUUACAGCAGCUCUAAGCCUGUAAUUUUUUUUUUCUCUCCACUGAAUUUUUACUGUAUUUACUGCCAGCUCAUCUAGCAGGGUGUGUUUGUUUUGGAUCAGGAUGAGCAUAUGGUGACAUUUUUUUUAUGGGAUUAGCUGGACUAUACAGUAGUUUGUAUCAGUUUUAGACCUUUAUGCAAACUGCUGGAAAGUAGGUGAUACCUGAUACAGCAUAAACUAUGAAGAUGCAAGAACAACCCUUUUACAUUUCCUAAAUAAAUUUGAACUUGUGAUG
This 2777-nucleotide long non-coding RNA is filed under the name Gallus gallus (chicken). RNAcentral's name for it is "lncRNA (ENSGALG00010003345.1)". The record is from RNAcentral. Lineage: Eukaryota; Metazoa; Chordata; Aves; Galliformes; Phasianidae.